RNAcentral lists this ribosomal RNA (470 nucleotides) under uncultured bacterium. RNAcentral describes it as "bacterial SSU rRNA". It matches the Rfam family "Bacterial small subunit ribosomal RNA", at positions 335 to 798 of the family's 1533-position model. The record is from RNAcentral.
ACUCCUACGGGAGGCAGCAGUGGGGAAUAUUGCACAAUGGGGGAAACCCUGAUGCAGCCAUGCCGCGUGUGUGAAGAAGGCCUUCGGGUUGUAAAGCACUUUCAGUAGGGAGGAAGGUAGUGUAGUUAACACCUGCAUNUUNUUGUGUACCUACAGAAGAAGCACCGGCUAACUCCGUGCCAGCAGCCGCGGUAAUACGGAGGGUGCGAGCGUUAAUCGGAAUUACUGGGCGUAAAGCGCAUGCAGGCGGCCUGUUAAGUCAGAUGUGAAAGCCCGGGGCUUAACCUCGGAAUUGCAUUUGAAACUGGCAGGCUAGAGUCUUGUAGAGGGGGGUAGAAUUUCAGGUGUAGCGGUGAAAUGCGUAGAGAUCUGAAGGAAUACCAGUGGCGAAGGCGGCCCCCUGGACAAAGACUGACGCUCAGAUGCGAAAGCGUGGGGAGCAAACAGGAUUAGAUACCCUGGUAGGAUAG